GACGAACGCUGGCGGCGUGCUUAACACAAGCAAGUCGAGCGGUAAGGCUCCUUCGGGAGUACACGAGCGGCGAACGGGUGAGUAACACGUGAGCAAUCUGCCCUUCUCAUCGGAAUAACCAUUGGAAACGAUGGCUAAUGCCGAAUACGACUUCCUUUCGCACGUCAGGAAGUGGAAAGCUCCGGCGGAGAAGGAUGAGCUCGCGGCCUAUCAGCUUGUUGGUGAGGUAAUGGCUCACCAAGGCGACGACGGGUAGCCGGCCGUGAGAGGGUGACCGGCCACACUGGGACUGAGACACGGCCCAGACUCCUACGGGAGGCAGCAGUGGGGAAUAUUGGACAAUGGGCGAAAGCCUGAUCCAGCAACGCCGCGUGAGGAAUGACGGCCUUCGGGUUGUAAACCUCUUUCAGCAGGGACGAAGCGAAAGUGACGGUACCUGCAGAAGAAGGACCGGCCAACUACGUGCCAGCCGCCGCGGUAA
RNAcentral lists this ribosomal RNA (481 nucleotides) under uncultured bacterium. RNAcentral describes it as "partial 16S ribosomal RNA". It matches the Rfam family "Bacterial small subunit ribosomal RNA", at positions 28 to 523 of the family's 1533-position model. The record is from RNAcentral.